This 1209-nucleotide unclassified non-coding RNA is filed under the name Hevea brasiliensis (rubber tree). The record is from RNAcentral. Lineage: Eukaryota; Viridiplantae; Streptophyta; Magnoliopsida; Malpighiales; Euphorbiaceae.
ACCUCUUGAUUAUCAGGACUGAUAAACGUCAGGAAGCUGAAGACCUACACUUGCAGCUGAUUUUCCUAGUAUUCUUUUCAUUUCAUCUGAUCUAUCCACAGCAAUGUUGUAAGAAAAUAACAACUCCUUGUGAUGGUGCACACUAUUAAGCAACAAAGUAUAAUGACGAGCAAGCUUGAUUUUCUGCCGAAUGGAUGAUUGGUCAGACAGAUUGCUGUUCUUCCGGAAUUCUUGCAUUAUGAAUUCACCAAAACGAUUCUUGUAAUCUUCUUGGCCAAUGUGUUUAUUAAUAGCGCUGAGAAGCUGUCGAUAAACCUUCAAAGCAAGUACAGCUUCAGAACUCAUUUUCCAACACCAUUGACUACUUAUCAAAUCCUCUUUCGUUGUUCAAUCCCUGAAUCAGAGGUAAAAUUAGGGUAUGUUUGACAUUGUUGUUAUAGCUGCUAUUAAGAAAAAAAAAUCAUCGUAAGGCAGUCUAUGACUGCUUUUGCAACCUCAUCAAAAUGAAGCAAAGAAAAGAAAAAGAUAAUCUACCCUCAAUGCCAAACAAAACCUUGGUAAUGCAUAGAACAGAAACUGUGUCAACCCCUAUCCAGCAAAUAACAAAACCAAGAAUAUCUGUUACAACUAAAUGCCAAAAGACGAUAAUCACAGUUAUUGCUCAAGCAGUACAAGCUUCCAAAAAUUAGCAUCUACAACCAAUUAUUACUACUGGGACUUGAAUCCAAUCUCAUUAUAGACUGUGUCACUUUGUGAUUACUGUUAUCAAAUUAUUAAAAAGAGGCAUCUAUUUUCCAACAUAACCAAUGGUAAUCAAGAAAGAACGGUCCAUCUUCAAUUCCAUAUUUUGCUUAUAAUUCUCACUUCUGAAUGUUAGCAAGAAUCCCUUUAACGUCCUCAAAAAAACAUCGAGGAUCCGAAGUGCGCAUAUGCAUCCCAUUAAAUCCCAAAAUUGGAGAACUGAAAAUAAUUCAAAACAUAUACACAAUCAAUCAGAGAGAAGAAUAGAAAUAGAAACCGAAAAAUUAAACCUUUAGUGCUCUGUUUGUUGCUAGUUGCUGGUUCUAGAGCUACACAGAAGCCAACCUGGUCAUUGAAGGAGAGUGCUUUUCUUCUAUUGAAUCGGCGGGCGAUUCGGCGAGUGUACUCGGCACACUCGCCUGAUUUGGACAAUGUGGUCGAGUUUUGCACAAAACACGGGCAGGUAAC